This 253-nucleotide ribosomal RNA is filed under the name uncultured bacterium. RNAcentral's name for it is "partial 16S ribosomal RNA". It matches the Rfam family "Bacterial small subunit ribosomal RNA", at positions 524 to 776 of the family's 1533-position model. The record is from RNAcentral.
UACGAAGGGGGCUAGCGUUGUUCGGAAUUACUGGGCGUAAAGCGCACGCAGGCGGAUUGAUACGUCGGGGGUGAAAUCCCGGGGCUCAACCUCGGAAUUGCCUUCGAUACUGUCUGUCUUGAGUCCGGGAGAGGUGAGUGGAAUUCCUAGUGUAGAGGUGAAAUUCGUAGAUAUUAGGAAGAACACCAGUGGCGAAGGCGGCUCACUGGCCCGGUACUGACGCUCAUGUGCGAAAGCGUGGGGAGCAAACAGG